Molecule: long non-coding RNA, 1753 nt
Filed under: Pandoravirus neocaledonia
Description: hypothetical ncRNA
Source: RNAcentral
UGUUGCUGUACCCGGCGGCCUUGUCUGCCAGCCGGUCUCCCCAAGGCGCGCCAUUGUCUUUGAGCCACUGCAGCGUCUCUGUGUCGCCCUCCCUCACGGCCGUCGCCGUCGUGAGGGUGUCCCAAGGACAUCCACUGGCGCGCAGAUACUUGAUGACGUGGAGGUGGCCGCCAUAGGCCGCGUCGUAGCACAAACUGGCAUCCCACACGCACUUGUCAUUCUCCCUGGCCCAUUGUAGAAUAUUGACGUGGCCGUUCCUCGCCGCGUCGUUGCAUGUAUCUUCAUUCCAUGGGCAUCCAUUGGCGACGAGCCACUGCAGGACCUCCAGGCGACCUUGGGAAGCAGCUGCCAGACAAGUUUCGCUGCUCCACGGGCAGCCAUUCGCAUGCGCCCACCGCAGCACAUCGAGGUGGCCGCCGCAGGCCGCGUCGAAACACGUCCACUCGUCCCACGGGCACCCGUUGGCGCGCGCCCACUGGAGCAUCUCGAGGUGGCCUCUGCGGGCCGCUCCAGAGCAGGUGUCGGUGUCCCACAUGCAACCGUUGGCGCGCGCCCACUUGAGCGCGUCGAGGUGGCCGCCCUCGGCCGCUUUGGCACACACAUAAUCUCCUAAAGGGCACCCGUUGGCCUUGAGCCAUUGCAGAAUGUGGACGUGGCCGCCCAGGGCCGCGCUGUCGUACGACGUGCAAUCCCAUGGACAUCUCCUGGCCGCGAGCCAUUGGAGCGCGUCGAGGUGGCCGCCGCCAGCCGCUGCCGCGCACGUCCGCGCGUCGCAGAUCGAACCGCUGUCGACCAACCACUGGAGCGUUUUCAAGUGGCCGUGUGCGGCCGCGUCGGCCGCCGCCGCUUUAUCCCACGGCGCGCCACUGGCUUUGAGCCACUGCAGGACGUGGAGAUGGCCCCCCGCAGCCGCGCGGCAGCAGACCCGCUCGCCCCAGGGGCAGCCUUUUGCGCGCAACCAUUGGAGCGCUUCGAGAUGGCCGCCCUCGGCUGCAGCAGCGCACGCGCUGCCCGGUCGUGUACAUCGAUCCUCAUCCCAGCGCCUUAUGGCUGUAUAGUCGCUUUCGGUGGCGGCAGCGUUGCCCCACGGGCACGCGCUCUUUUUGAGCCACCGCAGCACGCCGAGGUGGCCCCCCUUGGCCGCGCUGACGACGACAUCCCUGUCCCAUGGGCAGCCGUUGGCGGCGAGCCACUGCGACACGCCGAGAUGGCCCGCGCCGGCGGCCGCGCUACAUGUGCCCUCGGCCCACGGACAACCAUGGCUCGUGGCCCACUCGAGCACCGUCAAAUGGCCCCUGGUCGCCAGGAGCGCGCUGUAGGCGCCCGCGAUGGACGGCGCCGGCGGCGCGCAAUACGUCCUCCAGCGGCGAUUGACCCAGCGCGCGGCCACGGCGUCUACGGGAUCAACGUGGCUCAAAAUGGCCCAGAGAAUCUCGUCGGGUACGGGCAGGUCCAAUGCGCCGACAGCCUCGUCGCACUCUUGGACGCUGGUGCCGUCGUUUGUGUCUACGACACAGAUGUUUGCUGCCAUCGGGCAGAGGGUUUUGUCAAUAGGCGAUGAUGAGUGUUGCCGUCUUUGCCGUCUUCUCCUUUUUUUGCUUUGGUGGGUAUCGUCGCGCGCGACACAGAACCCAACACACGUAGCAUGCACAAAAAAGGCGUUGCAAUCUCUCUGGUCCCUCCAUAAAGACGACAGAAGUGACACGUUUUUUUCGUAUUUCAAUGUUUUUAAUUGGGCCACGUGCCGCACUCG